Long non-coding RNA from Olea europaea var. sylvestris, 750 nucleotides. RefSeq lists it as uncharacterized. The transcript is spliced from 4 exons. NCBI's taxonomy places the organism in Eukaryota, Viridiplantae, Streptophyta, Magnoliopsida, Lamiales, Oleaceae. The record is from RefSeq and is a predicted model, not a curated record.
UGAAACUAUGAGCUUGUAACGUACUAAGAUUAAAACUUCGAAGAAUGAUGUGAACUGUAUAAUCACAUAUUUGAGCUUUGUACCUUAUCUAUAAAUGACAAUCAUUUUAUGGUAGGUAGCUCUUAUUGAUUAAGUUGCUGAGAGUUUAUCCUCUGCCUAGGAAAUAUUUUCUAACUCGAAGUAGUUUGGUUUUGAACUGGUAAAUUAUUAUAUUCAACUUUUGUGACUUUUCUUGUCUUAUCUAAUUUUAGCUUGUAUAUGUGUCUCAAUACCUUGAGAUUGUAAAUAUUUAUGGUUUCUAUAUUUAAACAUAAUUACAAAAUAUGGUCCUUACUAAUGGUGUCUUAACUAUUUGCUGCAUUUUUUUGGUUCUGACAGAUUAAUUUGGAUGAAUUUGCUGACCUUUGCAAUGCCAUUGCGCUAAGGUUUCAAAAAGAGGAUUCAGUACCCGUAUUUGAUAGCCUUCCAUUUUACCGUUCACCCGCAUCUGAAAGGCUGAAAGACUUUGUUCGAAGUCCAAAAUUUGGAUACAUAAUAAUAUUCAUCCUUGCCCUGAAUUUUUUCGCAGUCAUUAUUGAAACAACGCUUGACAUAGAGAACAAUUCUGCUCAAGAGGCUUGGCAAAAGGUGGAGUUUGUGUUUGGAUGGCUGUACGUAGUGGAGAUGGCAUUGAAGAUCUAUGCUUAUGGAUUUGAGAACUAUUGGAGAGACAGCCAAAAUUGCUUUGACUUUAUAAUCACCUGGGUAAUA